This 298-nucleotide transfer-messenger RNA is filed under the name Escherichia coli. RNAcentral describes it as "partial transfer-messenger RNA". It matches the Rfam family "transfer-messenger RNA", at positions 1 to 307 of the family's 374-position model. From Rfam's summary of the family: Bacterial tmRNA, also known as 10Sa RNA or SsrA, is named for its dual tRNA and mRNA-like properties. Its role is to liberate the mRNA from a stalled ribosome. To accomplish this part of the tmRNA is used as a reading frame that ends in a translation stop signal. Lineage: Bacteria; Pseudomonadati; Pseudomonadota; Gammaproteobacteria; Enterobacterales; Enterobacteriaceae. The record is from RNAcentral.
GGGGCUGAUUCUGGAUUCGACGGGAUUUGCGAAACCCAAGGUGCAUGCCGAGGGGCGGUUGGCCUCGUAAAAAGCCGCAAAAAAUAGUCGCAAACGACGAAAACUACGCUUUAGCAGCUUAAUAACCUGCUUAGAGCCCUCUCUCCCUAGCCUCCGCUCUUAGGACGGGGAUCAAGAGAGGUCAAACCCAAAAGAGAUCGCGUGGAAGCCCUGCCUGGGGUUGAAGCGUUAAAACUUAAUCAGGCUAGUUUGUUAGUGGCGUGUCCGUCCGCAGCUGGCAAGCGAAUGUAAAGACUGA